UGAUUAAAUAUAACUCCAACUUCAUCUUCAACUCCAACUCCAACUCCAACUCCGAAAAAAAGUAAUUUCAUGGCCAAACGACUGCUUAGUGUUACUCAACACUUGGCCGAUGAAGAAAUUCUCCCUCAAUUUUUGAGGCCUCCACAACUAAAAAGACGGAUAUUACGUAUACAAAUAUAUAAUAAGAAAUAAAUAAAUUCGGGGGAAGAUAAAAUCCUUAUAAUAUUUUAAAACUUUAUGUGAG
Molecule: long non-coding RNA, 244 nt
Filed under: Capsicum annuum
Lineage: Eukaryota; Viridiplantae; Streptophyta; Magnoliopsida; Solanales; Solanaceae
Description: long non-coding RNA (CANN_LNC001414)
Source: RNAcentral